RNAcentral lists this ribosomal RNA (755 nucleotides) under uncultured bacterium. RNAcentral describes it as "bacterial SSU rRNA". It matches the Rfam family "Bacterial small subunit ribosomal RNA", at positions 8 to 765 of the family's 1533-position model. The record is from RNAcentral.
AGAGUUUGAUUCUGGCUCAGGAUGAACGCUGGCGGCGUGCCUAACACAUGCAAGUCGAGCGGACCAAUGUUCAUUUCAGCUUUGCUGAUUUGAGCAACGGUUAGCGGCGGACGGGUGAGUAACGCGUGGGCAACCUGCCCUGUGCAGGGGGAUAACACAGCGAAAGCUGUGCUAAUACCCCAUAAGACUACGCUAUCGCAUGAUAGAGUAGUCAAAGCUUUAGCGGCACAGGAUGGGCCCGCGUCUGAUUAGCUAGUUGGUGGGGUAACGGCCUACCAAGGCGACGAUCAGUAGCCGACCUGAGAGGGUGAUCGGCCACACUGGAACUGAGACACGGUCCAGACUCCUACGGGAGGCAGCAGUGGGGAAUAUUGCACAAUGGGGGAAACCCUGAUGCAGCAACGCCGCGUGAGCGAAGAAGGCCUUCGGGUCGUAAAGCUCUGUCCUAAGGGAAGAAGUAUGACGGUACCUUAGGAGGAAGCCCCGGCUAACUACGUGCCAGCAGCCGCGGUAAUACGUAGGGGGCGAGCGUUAUCCGGAAUCACUGGGCGUAAAGGGUGCGUAGGCGGCCGAGUAAGCCAGAGGUGAAAGGCUACGGCUUAACCGUAGUAAGCCUUUGGAACUACUUGGCUUGAGUGCAGGAGAGGAGAGUGGAAUUCCUAGUGUAGCGGUGAAAUGCGUAGAUAUUAGGAGGAACACCAGUGGCGAAGGCGACUCUCUGGACUGUAACUGACGCUGAGGCACGAAAGCGUGGG